GCUGAGGACGUCCUCGCAGUAAACAGAAUUUGAGUACCUCAACGUGAUGAUGAUCGAGACAGGACAAUAGUGCAGCUGAUCAAGGAUAGUACAGCACCUUGGUCCUACUGGUUAACAAGUUUAGGCUUAGUUCACUACCGAGGGUUGCAGGUCCCACCCGUACCACCGCCAACCUCUCACCAAGAUUUACUGACCCCGGCGGCAACACCAUUCGAACUGGAGAUCAGCAGGACAGCAACAAUGGGAGGAUUCUGUCAGAAUACAAGCAUUGGUUCACACGCAUUUCCUUGGAUGGUAAGGAACGUGCAAAAACAUUGAGAGCAUGAGGGCAUGAUGAAGGACUGCGAUG
Lineus longissimus is the source of this 349-nucleotide long non-coding RNA. RefSeq lists it as uncharacterized. The transcript is spliced from 3 exons. The record is from RefSeq and is a predicted model, not a curated record. Lineage: Eukaryota; Metazoa; Nemertea; Pilidiophora; Heteronemertea; Lineidae.